UGUCGUAACAAGGUUUCCGUAGGUGAACCUGCGGAAGGAUCAUUACGGUGCAUCCGACCCACACGUGAACUGUUGAAAGGUGACAUGGUGUUUGGUUUCACGAUCAAGACCGGUCACCGCCCCUUCUUCCACACACACGAACAAUCGAGCUGAAGCGAUGGGGUAGCGGGCUUUUACAGACCGCUGCCUUUAACCGUGACAACUCUCAACAACGGAUGUCUUGGCUCUCGCAACGAUGAAGAACGCAGCGAAAUGCGAUACGUAGUGUGAUUUGCACUGUACGUGAACCAUCGAAUCUUUGAACGCAUAUUGCACUCGAGGCUUCGGCCAAGAGUAUGCCUGCCUGAGCGUCAGUGUGUACCCUCAUACCAAUUAAUUUUGGGAUGGAAAUGGACGUCCGAUCGGAGCCUGCGAAGGUUUCGAUGGGUCGGCUGAAAGGCAGUCGCGGUGCGACCGAUCGCACGAUCAGCGUGGUAGACCUAUUCAUAGGACGGAUCGCUCGGUCAGAUCGGUAACACUUCGAUCCGAAUACUGGUGCGUGUCUCGACUCCGCGGGCCCUCGCGGCUGGUGGAAUAAGAGCCGUGCCAUCUCACCUUUUGACCUCAGUUCAGACAAGGCUACCCGCCGAAUUUAAGCAUAUUACUAAGCGGAGGAAAAGAAAAUAACAAUGAUUCCCCUAGUAACGGCGAGCGAACCGGGAAGAGCCCAACUUGAAAAUCUGGAGGCUUGUCCUUCCGAAUUGUAGUCUAGAGAAGUGCCAUCUGCGGCUGGCUGGUCGAAAGUUCCCUGGAAAGGGACGUCAGAGAGGGUGAGAGCCCCGUCACGAUCGGUUAAGUCGCUCCACGAUGCGCUUUCGAGGAGUCGGGUUGUUUGGGAAUGCAGCCCUAAGCGGGAGGUAAAUUCCUUCUAAGGCUAAAUAUUGGCGAGAGACCGAUAGCGAACAAGUACCGCGAGGGAAAGAUGAAAAGACCUUUGAAAAGAGAGUUAAAAAGUACCUGAAAUUGUUGAGGGGGAAGCGAUUGAAACCAGCGGGUGCUCCUCGGGUAGGGUCAAACCACACGCCGAGGGCUGGUCAACGUGGGUUAGUCGGGCGGGAUAUUACGCUUGAUUGACCGAGGACUCGACGUUGGCGGAAUGGUUUCAAUCGGCCCGUCUAGAAACACGGACCAAGGAGUCUAACAUGUGUGCGAGUCGGUGGGUGACAAACCCACGAGGCGCAAGUAACCUGACUGAGCAAAUUCGACCGACCAUGAUCUUCUGUGAAAGGUUUGAGUGCGAGCAUACAUGCUGGGACCCGAAAGAUGGUGAACUAUGCGUGA
RNAcentral lists this ribosomal RNA (1320 nucleotides) under Micromonas sp. RCC300. Its description in RNAcentral is "eukaryotic LSU rRNA". The stretch from base 599 to 1320 matches the Rfam family "Eukaryotic large subunit ribosomal RNA", at positions 1 to 840 of the family's 3401-position model. The record is from RNAcentral. Lineage: Eukaryota; Viridiplantae; Chlorophyta; Mamiellophyceae; Mamiellales; Mamiellaceae.